AUGCACGCUGGCGGCGUGCCUAAUCCAUGCAAGUCGCGCGCACAGACGAGGAGCUUGCUCCUCUGACGUUAGCGGCGGACGGGUGAGUAACACGUGGAUAACCUACCUAUAAGACUGGGAUAACUUCGGGAAACCGGAGCUAAUACCGGAUAAUAUAUUGAACCGCAUGGUUCAAUAGUGAAAGACGGUUUUGCUGUCACUUAUAGAUGGAUCCGCGCCGCAUUAGCUAGUUGGUAAGGUAACGGCUUACCAAGGCAACGAUGCGUAGCCGACCUGAGAGGGUGAUCGGCCACACUGGAACUGAGACACGGUCCAGACUCCUACGGGAGGCAGCAGUAGGGAAUCUUCCGCAAUGGGCGAAAGCUUGACGGAGCAACGCCGCGUGAGUGAUGAAGGUCUUCGGAUCGUAAAACUCUGUUAUUAGGGAAGAACAAAUGUGUAAGUAACUAUGCACGUCUUGACGGUACCUAAUCAGAAAGCCACGGCUAACUACGUG
Molecule: ribosomal RNA, 496 nt
Filed under: uncultured bacterium
Lineage: Bacteria
Description: partial 16S ribosomal RNA
Rfam family: Bacterial small subunit ribosomal RNA
Source: RNAcentral